AGUGAACGCUGGCGGUAGGCCUAACACAUGCAAGUCGAACGGCAGCACAGUAAGAGCUUGCUCUUACGGGUGGCGAGUGGCGGACGAGUGAGGAAUACAUCGGAAUCUACUUUUUCGUGGGGGAUAACGUAGGGAAACUUACGCUAAUACCGCAUACGACCUACGGGUGAAAGCAGGGGAUCUUCGGACCUUGCGCGAUUGAAUGAGCCGAUGUCGGAUUAGCUAGUUGGCGGGGUAAAGGCCCACCAAGGCGACGAUCCGUAGCUGGUCUGAGAGGAUGGAUCGCCACACUGGGAACGGGACACCGGCCCGACCCCUAAGGGGGGGAGCAGUGGGGAAAUUUUGGCAAAGGGGGGAAGCCUUACCGCGCCCAGCCGCGGGGGGGAAAAAGGGCCUUGGGUUGGAAAACCCUUUUUGUUGGGAAAAAAAAACAGGUGGUUAACACCCCGCUUUUUGAAGGGAACCAAAAAAAAAAGCACGGGUAAAUUCGUG
RNAcentral lists this ribosomal RNA (492 nucleotides) under uncultured bacterium. RNAcentral's name for it is "partial 16S ribosomal RNA". It matches the Rfam family "Bacterial small subunit ribosomal RNA", at positions 29 to 507 of the family's 1533-position model. The record is from RNAcentral.